UACGAAGGGGGCUAGCGUUAAUCGGAAUUACUGGGCGUAAAGCGUGCGCAGGCGGUUAUGUAAGACAGGGGUGAAAUCCCCGGGCUUAACCUGGGAACUGCAUUUGUGACUGCAUAGCUAGAGUACGGUAGAGGGGGAUGGAAUUCCGCGUGUAGCAGUGAAAUGCGUAGAUAUGCGGAGGAACACCGAUGGCGAAGGCAAUCCCCUGGACCUGUACUGACGCUCAUGCACGAAAGCGUGGGGAGCAAACAGG
This 253-nucleotide ribosomal RNA is filed under the name uncultured bacterium. RNAcentral describes it as "partial 16S ribosomal RNA". It matches the Rfam family "Bacterial small subunit ribosomal RNA", at positions 524 to 776 of the family's 1533-position model. The record is from RNAcentral.